RNAcentral lists this transfer RNA (69 nucleotides) under Ictidomys tridecemlineatus (thirteen-lined ground squirrel). Its description in RNAcentral is "Spermophilus tridecemlineatus (thirteen-lined ground squirrel) tRNA". It matches the Rfam family "tRNA". From Rfam's summary of the family: Transfer RNA (tRNA) molecules are approximately 80 nucleotides in length. Their secondary structure includes four short double-helical elements and three loops (D, anti-codon, and T loops). Further hydrogen bonds mediate the characteristic L-shaped molecular structure. tRNAs have two regions of fundamental functional importance: the anti-codon, which is responsible for specific mRNA codon recognition, and the 3' end, to which the tRNAs corresponding amino acid is attached (by aminoacyl-tRNA synthetases). tRNAs cope with the degeneracy of the genetic code in two manners: having more than one tRNA (with a specific anti-codon) for a particular amino acid; and 'wobble' base-pairing, i.e. permitting non-standard base-pairing at the 3rd anti-codon position. The record is from Rfam by way of RNAcentral. Lineage: Eukaryota; Metazoa; Chordata; Mammalia; Rodentia; Sciuridae.
GGGGUUGUGGCUCAGUGGUAGAGCACUUGCCUCACUUGUAUGAGGACCUGGGUUCCAUUCUCAGCACCA